UUUCCGCCUGCUUGUUGACCAUAUAAGGAGUUCCAUGGAGCGGUCCGAGCGCCGGGCCGAUUAUAAUCACUGAAGCUCCAGUGUGGCAUCAAGGAGAAGGAAACUGUGAAAAUGAGAUGAAUGGAGGUCUGAAGAGGAGCGGGAAAUGUCAAGGAGGAUCAACAAAUUAUUGGCUGCUCCAUCAAUAAAUGUCACAUGACUCUCAGCUCAGUUCAGUGAGUUUUAGUAAAGUUUUAUUAAACUAACUUAGAGCUGCAGACGGUAACUUUUAUAAAAAAUGUUUUUUGUUGAAGCUGGAGCUACGUCCAACCAGGGGUUGCCAUGGAGAUUAAAGGAUUUCUCAAACAUACAUGAAAGAAUCAAAGCAACAGUCCAGAGUUUGAAUCCCAACCUGGAGUCUGACCGUCUCCCAGCAUGCACUGCUUCUCUCUGGGUUCUCCGGCUUCCUCACCGUCCAGAACGUGACUGUUGGGUUGACUGGUGACUCUGAUGCAUCCUUACAUAUGAAUGUGCGCAGCUGGUUGCUCUGUGAUGAUGGACUUUCCUGACAAACUCCUAAACUUUGCAGAUGUUUAAACUCUGCACAGCAAACUGACGGCCUGAUAGAAGGACUGGAGCGAAAAUGAGAGGAAAAAAGUGAAGUUCACAGAAAAACAUCUAGAAAAUCUCAAAAUGAGGCUCAAGACUUUUCAAAACUACCAACAAAGUUUGGAUAGUUUGAGUGAAAAUAGAAAUAAAUAAAUAUGAAUCCAGCAGAUGAACAUUUAGAGCAUUAAUUUUAUUAAAAGUUAUUUGUCUUUAAAUGCAGGCAGAAGUCAGUAAAUAAAUGAAGUGAAUCAGUCGUAGUGAAAGCCGAGUCCAGAGCCGGAGGCGUCCCAGACGUCACUCUGCCCUCCUCGGCUCAGACUCGCCGGCCGACCGCAGCAGGAACUGAGAGCUGGCGAACGCAGCCCGAAGCACCGCGUCUACAGAGUGGGAGGAAACAGCGAAGCUUCACUUUGUGAUGCAGCAGCUUUCACUGUCAUGGAAGAAACGCUGCCUGUUGGCAGGGGUUCCCCAAGGCGCCGAGCGCAGACCCCUGCUCUUUGACUUUAUCUGCCUUAUCAUUCAAUCUGACGCAGAUCAAUUUAUGACGACUCUGGAGACGAGGUGGGCAGAGGAGAAAACCUCAGAUGAUGCAAACAGAUCCUGAAGACAAGCAAGAGUCAUUUUCUUCUUCUGGUUUGCAGUCGGUUUGUCGGAGCUAAUCAUGUUUAUAUUCUACUAACGUUUUCUAAGUUCACCAAACGGCACAUGGAGACGUGGAGAAAGAAAACAGGUUUAUUUACUAACCAGAUCCAGUCACCAUCGAUUCUUCAUCUCCUUAAAAGCAGAACAAUCAGCAAUUUCCUCACAUGAGCAACUGCUGCCGACCAUCAGUGGCAAAAAUACAAAGUGGAAAAUGUUUAACAAUCUGAUCUGCAGUUAGUCUUAAACAUGUUUGAAUUUUAAUGAAGUGUUGGAUAAGUGCAUUAAUCUACCGUUUGAUUAAAAGAUUAAAUUUCUAAAAUAUUUUUUGCAGUUGACACAAAAUGUUUUUAUCCACCUGUAAAAAUAAACGUUUACAUUUUGAAGUCAGACUGAA
This is a long non-coding RNA of Poecilia latipinna (sailfin molly), 1624 nucleotides long. RefSeq lists it as uncharacterized. NCBI's taxonomy places the organism in Eukaryota, Metazoa, Chordata, Actinopteri, Cyprinodontiformes, Poeciliidae. The record is from RefSeq and is a predicted model, not a curated record. The transcript is spliced from 3 exons.